UAGAUUUCAUCCUUGGGCUGACUGGACUUCCUUCUCCUCCCUUCCAGGAACGAGAGGAUGAGUUGCGUGCCAUGGCUCGGAAGAUCCGGAUGAAGUAAUCCCUUGGAUUUUCUCGUCCUUUGGGGUGGGGGUGGCGGGGCGCCUCAUCCCUGCUGAUAUCCCCUUUUUUUUCCUUCUCUGCAGGGAGCGGGAACGGCGGGAGAAGGAGCGGGAAGAGUGGGAGCGACAGUACAGCCGCCACAGCCGCUCGCCUUCUCCGCGCUACAGUCGAGAACACAGCAGCUCCAGAAGG
RNAcentral lists this long non-coding RNA (292 nucleotides) under Notechis scutatus (mainland tiger snake). RNAcentral describes it as "lncRNA (ENSNSUG00000004569.1)". Lineage: Eukaryota; Metazoa; Chordata; Lepidosauria; Squamata; Elapidae. The record is from RNAcentral.